AACGCACAUUGCGCCCUCUGGUAUUCCGGGGGGCAUGCCUGUUCGAGCGUCAUUACAACCCUCAAGCUCUGCUUGGUAUUAGGCGACACCCGGGUGCGCCCCAAAAUCAGUGGCGGUGCCGUCUGGCUUCAAGCGUAGUAAUACUUCUCGCUACGGAGCCCAGGUGGUGCCCGCCAGCAACCCCCCACUUCUCAAGGUUGACCUCGGAUCAGGUAGGGAUACCCGCUGAACUUAA
This 235-nucleotide unclassified non-coding RNA is filed under the name Spizellomyces sp. RNAcentral describes it as "partial contains 5.8S ribosomal RNA, internal transcribed spacer 2, and large subunit ribosomal RNA". The stretch from base 1 to 52 matches the Rfam family "5.8S ribosomal RNA", at positions 103 to 154 of the family's 154-position model. The record is from RNAcentral. Lineage: Eukaryota; Fungi; Chytridiomycota; Chytridiomycetes; Spizellomycetales; Spizellomycetaceae.